Salvia miltiorrhiza (redroot sage) is the source of this 845-nucleotide long non-coding RNA. RefSeq lists it as uncharacterized. The record is from RefSeq and is a predicted model, not a curated record. Lineage: Eukaryota; Viridiplantae; Streptophyta; Magnoliopsida; Lamiales; Lamiaceae. The transcript is spliced from 2 exons.
AUUGCUUAUAUAAAUGUGAACGUUCCAGUUGGUUGCCGGAGCAUGUGACUCUGCUGGCCCGUUUUGUGUCGGAGCCAUCGCCUUUGAAAUCCACUGUUACGAAAGCUGUUGCUGAAUUCCGCCGCACUCAUGCAGACACUUUGAAUGUACAUAAAGAUUCAUUUACUGAAGAGCAACUAGAGGUCCUCACUGAUACAUCUUCUUCAUCUUCAUACUUUGCUUGAUGUAUACCUUCCCAAUGCAAAUAACAAAAAUAAAAUGAGCCCAAGAACUGCGAUAAUAAAAGAUAAGAGAGCAGUAGAAUCGAAGGGGGGUGUUUUUCUCAACUGGGAAAUAUACAACCACAUGCCAAAAUACAAUCGAUCCACAACUUGGUGAAACACAACCUCGAAGGAUUCAGCCCCAGAGACGGCGUUUCUUUCACUUCACCAUUCCUCAACACUUGCGAACAGAGGCCGAGUGACCAUCUGCAUGUGAUAGAAGACGAGACAAGACUGAGUAUACAAGAUGAACAAUACAUGCAGUAGCAAAAUCCAAACCCAGUCAAGAGGUUUCCGGGAGUUGAAUUCCCAAAAGCUGCAUAGGACAUGUAGAAGAAAGUUGUGAUGCAGACUGCGAUUAUGGAUGCCUUCAGGACUGUGAGUGACCUUGCUGGUCACGAGGACGUUGCCGAAGGAGCAGUCAUGCAGAGGACUAGGACUUACAUAUAAUAUAUGUAAAAAAUGUUUGAGUGAUACAUGGAUGUGAACAAACUUAACUUUAUGAAUGUAUAUGAACAAAUUUAACACAUUGGUUUGAAAUUUGUAAGUUAACUCUCUUAAUUUUUAACAUAAUUGUUAUUUACA